Long non-coding RNA from Neopelma chrysocephalum (saffron-crested tyrant-manakin), 1813 nucleotides. RefSeq lists it as uncharacterized. The transcript is spliced from 4 exons. Lineage: Eukaryota; Metazoa; Chordata; Aves; Passeriformes; Pipridae. The record is from RefSeq and is a predicted model, not a curated record.
AGCAGUUGGUGAGCGUGUGACCAGGUGAAUGGGGAAUGUAAUUCUUACAAUGUGAUUUAAUCCCCAGAACUGCCCCUUGCCACUGAUUCAGUCCCUUCCAUGCAGAGAACUGCACUGUGGAAGUACAGACCUCUGUCACUUCAAAUCCACAGCAGGAGCUCAUUUGAAUCCUUUUAAGAGCCUGCUGUUAGUCAAAUCCAGCUCCUUGGUAAAAGGGUGGUGAGCCACCCAUGCUGUUCUAAGCAGGUGAGCUCAGACUUGAUUAUGGAACAGUCUCCUGGCAUAAGUGCUGGGCUUUCUGCCACCUGCUGUACCUGUUCCCACUGUUUCAACCUCCUGUUCUUAAUGUUCAAAAUCCUAAUGCUUGCUUGCUUAUAUUUAUGUACUCUAUUUAGUGAUAAGAGAGUGGCUGUGAUCAGAAAGCAGCUUUCCCAUCAGCCUGAUUUUCAGGACUUCUCACCAGGCACUGCCAGUCCCAGCUCUGUUUUGCUCCUGGCAAGGUCAGUCCUUUGCUCGCUGUCCAGUCCUCUGAUAACGCUGAUUUCCCCCAUUUAAGCUUCUGACAACAAAUUUGUACUUUAUUUUCCUGUAAAGCCAACUUCCAUCUGCCAAGUGAAAAAUGCACAUCCUGUGAGCUGAGGUGAUACCAGGCUUGCAGUUGCCUGUUGGAAUAAAGCUGGUGUGCAGUAGCAAGCUGGCAUAAACUGAGCCUGCACCAGGAGACCAGUGGCAAACAGUCCCCACUGGUACAGUUUAGCCCAGGACCAACACCCAGGAACCUCAUUUUUGGGUAUGGGAGGGGAACUGCACUGAGCAGGUCAAGCUGAUGGUCAAGUACAGAAUAAGCUCUGAAACGGUGCUAGUAGAGCUGUGUGUUGCUAAGAAUUCAUGGGCAAGGGCUGCUUAGAUGGCACCACACCUUGGUAUGUGUGCUGGGGAUAGGGUCUGGACCACUGUCCUGCCCUGCUGGGACGUGGCAGUUUGGACUGGAACCUUCCUCCUAUGGCCCCUUCCCUGCCUGGGCAAUGCACUGCAGCAGUAUGUGCUGGAUCAGCACCUGCUGGAGAGGGAUCUGUAUAGCACUGAUUCCAUGUCCUAAUUGAAGUUCCAGUUUGGAGGUGAAGAAGCAGUUGGAACUGACAGGUUAUCUGAUUUCAGCCCCUGUUCCUUCAAGCCCUGUGCAUUGCUGCUCAUCUUCAUGGUAGUUCACUGAAUACCCAAUGGUAGAGCUUUGCUGCAUGUUUAUGGAUGCUGGAACAAUUCCUUCAGUCUGCUCUACAGCUGAACUGUCUUAUCUCCAUAUUUGAAUUGUUCCUGUUUUCAGCUGCUUGGCAAACCGAUGGCCACCAAGUCCCAAAAUAUUUGCUGUGAAGUACAUGAACAGCUCGAAGCUUAAACAACUGAAAGCUGCUGGUGCCCUGCCUCAGGUGCCAGGCUGGGAGGUGCCAUCAGCUGGUGGGAAAUGCAUGGCCUUGUACAGCCCAGCUCAUCAGUGGCUUCUUGCCUGGACCUGGCUGGCUGCUGCCCUGAAAGACCUGAGCUGAUCCCCAGUGACAGAAGCCAUCAGAACCCAGCAGAUCCCAGGACAUCACUAACAGGACAGGAGGCCGUGCUGCUGGAGACCUUCCUACCACCUGUGGAUGACAAGCCAGGCAGAGUAGAGCUCCAAACCUCAAGAGCCAGCAUCCUUUCUGCUCUGGAAGUACCCAGGAACUACCAGAAACCCCAGUGAAGGAGGACAUUGCUCUGAACUCUGUGUGUGCCACCCAAGGAGGACUGUAAUAACACACAGAGGGAACAACCACAACAAUGA